AAUUUACCCGCGUGUUACGGGCUGAGGCCGGCAGGCUCAGUGUUGUACCACCUAGGGAAGGGGCUGGGGUGUAUGUUUAUCGGGAGGAAGUUUGGUGAGUAUUAAUAGAACGUUUCAUAUGAUCCAGAUUCUGCCCACUUGCCGCUGAAACCACCGAAAAGAUUUAGUUAGAAACCGGAUUAAGUAUUAAGGCCGGAGACAUCUGCGAGCUGGGCCGGUAAAUCCCUGGAGCAGCGCGGUGGGUGUUCGGAGCAGUCCCAAGGCUCAUCUAUUUUAAAUUCAUGUGAUAUAAUACUGCACUCUUUAUAAUAGUUUUUGAUGCCAGAAGAACACAGUCAAACUACAAUGGCAGUUGACGAACUUCAAGCCAUAAUACAAAGAUGUCAAAUUCUAGAAGAAGCUGAUUUCAAAGGAGAAGAUUUUAAUCUGUUUCUGGUGGCAGGUCAGAAAUGUUUAGAAGAUGGAUAUGCAGCUCAGUUAUUAGAAGUAAUUCAAAAUGAGAAAAAUAAGGUUAUCAUCAAGAAUAUGGGUUGGAAUCUCAUUUCUCCUCUUGUUAGAUGUAUUUUCAUGUAUAAGCAAGAAGAUGAUAAGCGAGAACACUGCCUGAGGAUACUAGAUCAGUUGGCACAGAUAUGCAACCCAAAGGAAUUGUUUCUGGGUUUACUUGAGCAAAUUGAGCAAACCUCUGGAGAUCAAGUGUGUCAAACUGUCAUGUUACUGCUUCAGCCUUUGCAGACGGUGCUUUUGAAACUGCAGAACAAGAAGGCCUACUCAGUGGGUUUGUCGUUGGCCAUGAUCAUGAAUCAGCUUACUUCCUUACCUGUACCUUACACGAAACAACAAAUACAAGAAGACAAACUUGGUCUUUGUCAGUGUUGUAAUGCAGUGGUGGACUUUGCUAAACCCUUUGUGAAUGAAGUUGUUAAAAACAUGGAAAAGUCGUCAGAAUACGAUGACAUGGAGCUGAAAGAAGAAUUAUUAAAAUUCUGUAUGAAAAGCCUGAAAUACCCAUUAUUGGCAGCUCAGCUUGAACAACUUGAAGGCAUUGAAGAACAUCCUUUUCGGCAUUUUGCAACUGAAAUUAUAGACAUUUUGUGGAAUAUAAGAGAAUUGAUGCCGUUAGUGGUUUUACAUCAUAAAGGCAAAAGUCCACGCUGGGAGAAUCAGGAGUUUGCAGACAUAGAGCGAAAGAAUUCUGCAGAUUCUUUGGCAUGUCUGUCAUAUCUGAUGUUUGUUCAGCAUUUUGGUAUCGAAUGCUUUCCAGUGGUUUUUAGCCCAGCAUACCUUCUGCUAUGCAAUAUGACACAUAUUGAAGUGCUACUGAAAAGAACAGAAGAAUCUAUGUUAUCUAAAGGACUUGAUCUGUUUGAGAGCAGUUUAUUGAGAAUGGAAGAUAACAGCCUUCUCCAUGACUAUUUAGAAUUCAGAGAUUUCAUUAAUGUACCUCAGGAUUUGGUGAAAAUUAUGACCCUUUGUCCCAUGGAGCAUCUGAGAAAGAAGAGUUUAAGUAUUUUGCAGUUGUUCAUAGACAAGUUUGACACUGAGGGAAAAUAUACAUUAUUCAGGUGUUUACUGAAGACAAGCAACCAUGCUGGUGUGGAAGGAUACAUUAUUAAAAAUAUAAAAGAUCAGAUUCACUUAUCGUUAACGAAGGAAUAUGACAACGUGUGGUUUACAGGACAUCACCUGGUCUCCCUUCUAGAUCUAGUACUUUCGCUUCCAGAGGGUGCUGAGACAGAUCUUCUGCAGAACUCAGACAGGAUUAUGGCAUCACUAAAUCUGCUGAGAUACUUAGUCAUUAAGGAUUGUGAAAGUGAUAAUCAAACUGGUGUAUGGACCACACUCACCAAGAUUGAGCAGAAUUUUUUAAAACCACUGCGUGUAGGACUCAACAUGUCAAAAGCACAUUAUGAAGCAGAAAUAAAAAAUAAGAAAGAAAACAGAAAAGAGGCCCACAGUUCUAACACAGUUUGUUCUGUAACUGUUAGUGGGGAAAAGAUGCCUGCCAUGACUACUGGAAUGCAGCUUCAGGUUUUACACUCGGCUCUCUUCACGUUUGAUUUAAUAGAAAGUGUUCUAGCUCGAGUAGAAGAACUCAUUGAAGUGAAAAUAAAAGCUGUAAUGGAUGAAAAUAGUUAGGUGACUCGUAGCUUGAAAGAAUAUGGCACAAGUUUCAACCCCACCAAUGCAGAAGCUCAAUCAGUGCUUUACAUACAACAGAAGACUUCCAAGGUACCAGACAAGAAGUGGAUUCACACCCGAUUUCCCUCUCCUGUUGGUGCAACGCAUGGAAGUUAUGGUUACCCUGCGCUGCAAGGAUACGGGAAUGUCAUGCUACUUUUCCUAACACUAUUCGGCUGUGGGAAGCUGAAUUCUAUGGCUGCGUAUGUAACAACUGAACAAUACCAUAUCCUAAUCAGUGGUCUGCUGCAAAACUAUUAAAGGAAUUGCAGCAACAUCAUUGUGGACUUGAAGAGAGAAGCUAAUUUAAUUUUGAUACAGCCAGAGAAGUAAAUGCAAAGAAAAAA
Empidonax traillii (willow flycatcher) is the source of this 2528-nucleotide RNA transcript. It is a transcript of the gene named glomulin, FKBP associated protein, with no coding region annotated. The record is from RefSeq and is a predicted model, not a curated record. The transcript has 22 exons. NCBI's taxonomy places the organism in Eukaryota, Metazoa, Chordata, Aves, Passeriformes, Tyrannidae.